Molecule: long non-coding RNA, 211 nt
Filed under: Musa acuminata (dwarf banana)
Lineage: Eukaryota; Viridiplantae; Streptophyta; Magnoliopsida; Zingiberales; Musaceae
Description: long non-coding RNA (MACU_LNC010617)
Source: RNAcentral
UAGAAUUCUGCAAUGUAUCUUUCGUCGUAGAGAUGAAAACUUUGUGACGAAAGGUUUAUGCAGCAAUAUAGGAACAUUUUUUUUUUUGGAUUUUCGAAUAAGGAUAACUAAAUUACAGCAGCAGUAAGGUAGGAAACCAGAACCUGUUGCAAUUCACGGGGAGAUCAAAGGAUGAUCCGCGGUGGUGGAGAUGAUGACGGAAUUCGGUGAC